Molecule: long non-coding RNA, 2945 nt
Organism: Tyto alba (common barn owl)
Lineage: Eukaryota; Metazoa; Chordata; Aves; Strigiformes; Tytonidae
Exons: 3
Source: RefSeq, a predicted model, not a curated record
UCACGCGUGGGCCCCCGGCGCUGUUACCCCGCGGAGGCUCGUUUCUCGGGCGGGCAGAGCGUCAGCGGGACACGGCACGCCGUUACCGACCCGCAAGAAGAUAUUUCAUUUUAUCCUGCUGCCGCCCGCCGCACGCAGUGUCAGGAGAAGAGGUGAUGCUCUGCCUUUCCUGGGCUCUUUUUUUUUCCUCUCCUGCCUCUGCCCCCUGGAUCCUUCCUUUUCCCUCCAAACUCGCAGCAGAAAGCAAGCAGGAGGCACCAGGGUCUGCGGUUUAUAAAAAACGGCAAGAAUAAAGGGUGCAGGCAAAUGAUGGGCCAAUAUGAGGAGGAAAGAUGGAGGCCUAAAACCAGUCAGCAGGAAUGGAAAUAAUGGGAAAUCAGAAUUUGCAGCAAGAAGAAUGAACUGCACUACCGAAGACCUGAGCAUUAAGGGAAAAGGGGAAAUCCUUCAGCAUCACAUGACCUCUUUAAAGACCUGUGGAGGUAGAGUAAUUCUGGUGUGAGCAGCUCUGGAGAUCACAAGGAAAAUAAAAGGCACCAUGGUGCAUGAACAGCGCUGCUAACACUACAUCCUGCGCUCCUCCCAGGAAUGACCUGCCGUGGAAAGAGCAGCAGAGAGCGAGCUUUGCUGCCCAGGGCAGGGUGCCACGGCCUCAAUGAGUGGCUGCAGGAGUGAUUUGCACAGUACUCCCAUGGCUAGGAUUGCAUCCCGUCACAUUUGCAUCGCUAGGAAAGCGUAAGCGGAGCUCUUGGCUCGAGUGACCCCUCCUGAUGGGGAAAAAUUGUGGCUCUUGGGUUCGUGGGGUGCUUGUUACUGAAAGCAGUGGCACAGCAACAAGAGUCAAAGAUUCUCCUCUUAAGGAUUGCUCAUUUGUACACACAAAGAUUGAUUUCAUGGCUUUAGGUCAGCUAUCCAGUGUCAGGGAGUGAUUAUUGCUAUUCUACAAAUUUUGAAUUCCACAUAUAGAAACUUGGGAGAGCUUUACACACCCUCCAUUCUUCUCGCCUGUUUUUUCUCUGUUUUUAUUCUUUUUUAUCAGUGAAAGAGGGAGUAGGAUUUGCAGGAGAGGAGGAGGAGGGGAAAGACAGGAAUUGUUCUCCCUCUUCCUUUUUUUUUUUUUUUUUUUUUUAAGUUAUAAAACAGUUUUCCUUUUCAAUUAUAAAACACAGCCCACGCAGUAGAAUUUAAUGGGAUUGGUGUUGGUUUCCCUCUUGACUCCCUCUGCCUAAUUUGUUUCUGAGAUGAUGGGGGAGGAGGGGUAGAGACAGGGCUGGAGAACAAACCGGGGGAGGAGAGGGCUGCUCAGAUGGCAGCAAGCUCAGGGUGCAUUGUGCUGGGGUGCAGGCCAUGGGAGGACCCCCGCAUUGGAUGGGCAUACAGAGCUGACUGCACCCCAAAGGCUCUGCGGUCCAGGAAAGGCAACUCUGCGGUGAAAUAACACCCCAGGUUUAAUCCUUGCAUCACCCUGCGCCUGCUCAGCCCAGGACCUAUUGGUUUGUCAUCAUCCCAUCACGCCACCAAUUAUUUUAUACUUGGCACCUACUGCAGAGUGGGGCAAUACUACUUACAUGGCAGAUUCUGCUCUCGGUAUUUUUGUUCUGGGAGCAUCAAACUGGGGUGAAAACAGGUCGUGCUGCCUUUGUUUUGCAGCCAUUCCUUACCCCACAGUCUCUCCUCCCCUCCUCAGCUUUUCGAAUACAACCCUUCUAUGAACAUGCUUUAUAGGACCAAUACUUCAUAUCCCUUUGUUUACAGAGGAGGCUAAUCUCCAUCAGAUUAUGAAAUCAGCUCACAUGCUUCAGUGGUAUUACCCACUAUUGAUAUCCCUGUUCGAUCCCUGUUGAGCUCUCUUUGUUGGAGGUAACCCUUUCUCUUACCUCUUCUAAGCUGAUUUCUUAGGCCACAUCAUUCAAGCCCCACAUCCCCAUGGUAUUUAGAUGUAGUAAAAAUGACUGAGGGGAAAGUAAAUGGCAGCCAGUGAGCCAACUAAACUGUCUGACUAUUAAUGGUCCUGUUAGUUGCAAAUUUACUUUACCACAAAGCCCCCAGCAUGUAAUCCUUAGAUGAAUGCCUUUGAUUGUGAGGGAAUAUUUACAGCUGACCCUGCCAGCAGUCUGCAAACCUGCAAUGGGCCUCCUGUCCCACAUUAAAUCCGCUGGCAUCUGUUCCUGGGUUCUUAUCAAGCACAUGCUCUGUUGGUGCAGUGUUUGGGCUGUAGCACUCACGGAUACGGUGGGCCUUGACGAAUAAAUCCCCACAUUCCUGCGAAAUGCUAAUUCUUGUGAACGUUGUACGUUACAGUUUGUACCUGCCUCCAGGCAUUGCCAUCCACAGGGAGAUUUACAGAUGGCUUUGAUUCCUGCCGACUGCCCCUUCCCCGGGGCAGGUCCCUGGUCCUGAUGCUGGACCACCCUUCACCAAGAACAAACUUCUUCUCGGCCACUCUUUGUUGUUCCAUUUUCCCAGACAUGCCUGAGUGACAUGAAGUGAUUUUUAUGACAAUUUUUUUCUCUUUUCACCCCUGAGCAUACCUUGCACUCAUCCCCAGGUUGCUCUGACUGAGCAUGUUGUUCUUGCAGGGACCCUCAGGUGGUCCUACGCCACCUCCAGCCACAGCAGAGCUAUGCAGGAGCACAGGCUGAAAGCCGGCAAGAUUUCAGUGUGUCCUGAUGCCUGUUCCCUGUGUCCAAGUGUAAUUCAGUGGCUUGCCAUUCCCAGCAUGUCCCGUGGUAUGUGGGAUGGAUCCAGACUGCUUGGCUUCUUUGUGUCAGCCAGAAGACCCAGUGGUGGGUGGUGGGCCUGCUCCAUCCACUCUGCAGGCAAGGAUGUCCUUAUGUCUGUGUUGAGGAAUGAUGGCUAUUUUUUCUCUUACGCCUUUACUCAAAACCCAUGCUUUUCCACCCAAGCUGUAUGAAUGCUGAGCAUGUUUGGGCUUGAACAUGGAC